AGAGAUUUAGGAUAAAUUAGACCAAAGACCUUCAAAGCCUUAAGCAAGGGUGAAAAUCCCUUAAUCUCUA
RNAcentral lists this transfer RNA (70 nucleotides) under Zenarchopterus buffonis (Buffon's river-garfish). RNAcentral's name for it is "tRNA-Trp". It matches the Rfam family "tRNA". Rfam says of the family: Transfer RNA (tRNA) molecules are approximately 80 nucleotides in length. Their secondary structure includes four short double-helical elements and three loops (D, anti-codon, and T loops). The record is from RNAcentral. Lineage: Eukaryota; Metazoa; Chordata; Actinopteri; Beloniformes; Zenarchopteridae.